AGGCCUGGGACAGGCUUAGCGUGGCUGGCUGUGUGUGUAACGUCCUUCCCACAAACUCCUGGAUGCUGCCUGCAAGAUAACAGAUCAGGAAGAUGCAAUCUGCACCAAGCCUUUGCAACUCUUGCUUUGGUGCCAGCCAGCACAGCCUCCCGGCACUGCGGAUGCCGGCAGCAUGGCGGACUCCCAGGUGUUCCUGCUGGACGAGUCGCACGUCAACGAGAAGGUGACAGAGGCGCAGGCCUGCUUCUAUUAUAGUGAGGAGCAACGUCGAGCCCUGGAGACGCUGGUGACCCGAGGUGAGGCCGCAUACAGGGAGACCCUGCGAAAGGAGCAUCUCCAAGACUUCCUCUCCAGCCAGGAGCUGCAGGCCCUGCGGGGCAGCUGGCGGGCAUAUGAAGACCCGCGGGAGAGUGCCAAGGUGAUGCGGGGCCCCGGCGGCAAGGCCGUCUCGCUGGCCUACUGGCCUGAGCUCUCAGACACGGAGGUCCCGCCGCUGGACCUGGGCUGGACCGACAAGACCUUCUACCGGGGCAUCAGCCGUGUGGCCCUCUUCACGCACCCUCGCAAGGAGGAGAACGUGCCCCACCUGAAGGAGGUGGUGAGAGAGAUGAUCCAACAGGCACAGAAGAUUAUUGCAGUGGUCAUGGAUGUAUUUACAGACCAGGAUAUCUUCCGAGAUAUUGUUAAUGCAGCAUACAAACGCUGGAUCCCAGUCUAUAUAAUCCUAGAUGAGGAUGGUGUGAAGCUCUUCCUGGAAAUGUGCAGAUGCCUUGAACUCAGUGACUUGCAGAUUCGGAACAUCCGCAUCCGUUCUGUGACAGGAGUUGGGUUCUACAUGAAAACAGGGAAGAUCAGAGGUACACUGGCAUCUCGAUUCUUGAUGGUAGAUGGUGAAAAGGUGGCCACUGGAUCAUACAGCUUCACAUGGAGUUCAUCCCAUAUUGACAGAAACAUCCUACUAGUCUUGACAGGACAGCAUGUGGAGAUGUUUGACAUUGAGUUUCGUGAGCUCUACGCUAUCUCAGAGGAAGUAAAUUUCUGCAAGGAAUUGGGUAUUGCUAAUCCAAACCAUCAUGGAAUUGGGAAAUCAGGCUUUCAUUCCUCCACCGUGGCUCGGAAGAUCAUUAAUCCCAAGUAUGGCUUAGUGGCAGGGGCAACUCGUGGUGAUAUGUUGCUCUGGGCUUCACGACACAGGGAGGAUAAUCAGGAUAAUAUGGAAAGGGAAGAAACAAGUGAGUCUAAGAAACGAUUAAAUCAGUUUCUGAAUGACUUAAUCACAUUAGAGCAAGAACUCCCAGAGAUUGAACCACCUCUGGAGAACUUCAGCAGGCAGAAUCGGAGCCCUCAGAAACUGUUGUCCCGGUUCCACAUGGACCUGAAAAACAAAUCCAAGUCCAGAGAGUCCAUUCGUGAUGUGAAGAAAGAAGAUGCACAGGCCAACUCAAAGCAAGGCAAGCGGUUUGCCAGUGGGAUUUUUGGUCGCAAGGCCAAACGAUCUCCAGGUUCAAGCAUUGAAGCAAAUUCUUUUGCCAGUGAAGGACACUCAGGGGAAGACCUCGGGAAUAUGAAACUGGAAUAUGAGCAGCUCAGCACAAGCCAUGCCAGCGUUCGGAGCGCUGAAGGCAUCUCAGGUAACCUGGGUCCAAACUCCACUGCAAGCGAUAAAAGCAAACAAUCUACCUGUGUGUUAUCUUGAUUGCAUGGGAAACUGAAGACUGAACAAGCUGGCUUAGUAACAUGUUUAUCGAUUUGUCCUUACACAGUGGUCUGUCAAGCCACUGUGUGAUCCUGGAUGCAGCUGGCACCCCCAGUUAAAUCUUAUUUACUGGGUGAAGCAUAGACUUUGGAUGGUCUGUCCCUUAAAUGAGGGUUAACGAUGAAUGUAUUAGUCCAUACGUGUGUGUGCAUAUAGAUUUUAUACAUAAAAACAACUGUGAUGACUGGUCUCAGAGCUUGCUCUGUGUCCAGGUAAAUGCAGAUUUUCAGACUUACUUAUGCUGCUACUUCAGUCUGUUUAGUUACAGACUCAGAAUCACUGUGUUGCAUUGUUUACUCGGCUGCAUUGCAGAAAUGUAUUGGCCCGAUCGGCUGGAAGUCAGAGUCCAAUCAGUGGCAAAUUCUGGGUGAAACAGUGAUGUUUACAGACAGCAUAGCAACGCUUUGUCCUCAAGGAGUCUUCCUGUAGAUUCUUAUUGUCACUUACCCACACAGAAACUAGUGGUUGGGGGAGAAGGGUUUAGCCAGAAGAGGCCAAUGGAUUACUAUCUUAACUGUUUAUUUCGUGUCGUAAAUAUAGUAGUCAAACAAAGCGAUUUGGCAGUAAUCUGUUAAAAAGAAGCACUGGAGUGUUAGGGGAGUGUUUAACCUGCAGCUGAGACUGGGUCAGAGAAAUGCCUUACAUGGGAGAGUGGGCAGAUCUGGGAGCAGUCACACAGCUUUCAAUGGCUGCUAUAAAAUCCUGUUUGUUGCUAAGUGAGCGGUACUUUACCCUUCAUGGAAACUGUAUGAUUAAGGAGCACAUCUCUGAGGCUGAAAAGAAGCAAAGCAGGCAGACAAGCUUUUCAAAUGCUCCCUUCUUUUUCUUUUUUUUGCCUCAGGUUAACAUUUCCAAGCUCUAAAAAAUGCCUAAAUCAUGGGCUUUGAUCCAUAAGAGACGCUGCAUGCAAUCAGGCCAAAGGCCAUCUAAUCUGCUAUCCUCUCUCUAGGGCACCAAGUAACAGGUGAUCACAGAAGCAUAAAAAAUCAAGCUUGGGUACAAAAGUCUUUCUCUGACACUGUUCCAGCAGUCUGUGGACUUUCUGAACUGGCAGUUCCUUCUGGACCUGGCCUUAAUGAAUGCACUUAGUCCUUUUUUAAAAAUCCUUUUAUAUAUUUGGCCUCCACAGUGUUCUGUGGCAGUGGACCCUGAGUUCAUUGUGCAGUAUUAAAAAGAACAGUCUUCAGGCAAUUUUAAUGGUUUACUUGAUGAUUUCAUCGGGUGACCCUAAUUAUUCCACUGUCAGAUGUAGUAAUGACCACUCCUAUUCCUCAUCUUCUUGCCACUUUUUACAGACCUGUAUCAUACAUGUCCUCAGCCAUCAUGUUUCCAAGCUCCACGUUCACGGUAUGUGAAACUAUUCAUUACAGGGGAUGUGCUCGACACCACUGCCCUCAGGUUCGCUGGCUCUCUUCCAGUUCUGCCACUAACAAAGUGGAGAAGCAGGUUGUUUUUGUUUCCUCAGUAUGCAGAUUGAUGUUUCACUCUGCUUUCUUGCCAUCUAAAUUAUACACUCUCCAGUUAUAAAUAAGCACUCUUGUGAUAUCUAAGAAAAAUAAAUCCUAAUCAUAGUAGACAACUGAAAGGUAACAUACUUGUUUGCCAGAAAGCUAUACAGACAUCUGAAGCAAUGGGUUUAGUUUUUUUUUUGUGUUGAAACACUGUUGAGUUUAUCUCAGUGCACAGCAAUGACAACUGCUGCACUACGAGCACAGAACAAGCUGCUCUAAAGGCUCUUCCAGGUGCUGGACUGCAAUGUUGAUUCUUACAUUAAAACAGCUGCCUGUAGUUGAUGAUGAAAUGCAAUGGAUUGAUUGACUGAUUAACUGCCUUUCCUGGAAGUGAAUUUAACUUGAACAGCAACAAGGUUUGUUUUACUCUGGUUUUAACCUGUAGAAUAUCUUGAGACCCUAAAAUACCAAAGGUAUUAUGCUCUCUGUUAAAUACACUUUCACUCAGUGGGUUAAAUGCUUGUGACUCUAUACAGUUAUUCUAUAUAGCCUUCUGGGAACAGGCUGUAGUUUUACUGCUAGGUCUGUCAGCUCCUAUUAUCAGCAGUGUUUUAUAAAAUUGUUCCUGGUAAUGGAAGAGAAGAGGUGUUGGAAAUUACACCAUCACUUGGACACAGAAGUAAGUUAAUACAUGAGAUAUCCUGUUGGCUGCGGGUGCAGUGUUUAUGUGCCAAAAGCUAUUUGCUAUAUAUAUGUAUGUACUAUCUGAAAUGGCUUGAUUUUGCCAUGCUUCCAUUAUUCUCCAAAUGAUUGGAACCUUUUUUUUUUUUUUCUCUCCUGGUAUUUAUUUCACUUUGUUAGCAGAGAUUCAAGAGAAAUUUAUAAAGCCAAUGUGGUUCCAGUUCUUUGUUCUGAUAGGAAUGUUGUCACCUGGUACUUCCUUGUUCUCUCGGACUUUUAAGAUAUUUAUUUAUUUUUUAAAUUGUGCAAUAGGCUAAUUUACUAAUUAGUACUGUGUUAAUAUAUCUGGUCAGGUUUUCCAGGAAGUCCUCUGCCUCUUUAGGCUUUUUUCUUUGUUGCUUCAUCUUGGGUGGAGUAACUUAAAUCACUCGAGAAGCUGAUUUCACUAUUUCUUCUAUUCUAUGCUUGCUGAUUAACACGCUUUACUUUCUUUUUCCUAUGGCAGAUGCGAAAGCACUUUCUUCAGCCUUGUCAACUAACAGGAUCUCCUUUCUAGUGAGAAUCUCUCAUCAAUUUGUCUUAUGUUUUGAUGCCACACCAGUUUCUAAACUGUAGUGUUUGCUCAUUCGUUUUUAAUUCCCUUCUCUACUUUUAUUGUUCGAAAGUCAUAGAAGUCUAAUCUCAUGCCUUGACUCCAGAGUCUAGUAGAAUUCCUCAGGCUUAUUACACAUUAUUAAUUUACUGAAUUGAAGAGAGCAAACUUGCUUUCUUGCAUGAUGUGAAUCUGCUUCUUAAACUCAGCGUGACUCUUAAGGGAUGCACGCAACCUUGCUGAUCCAGAGUGGAUGUUUCAGACUCUGGUGGAACUUGUUCUUCCCUGCAGACAAGAUCAGCUGAACUUGGACAUUCGGCUGCUUCUAUGGCAACAGGUCUGAGUGCUGGUGAGGUGACUGCAUUUAUUUUGCUAAUUGUGGUUCUUCAUAAGUACUAGGAUCCUACCUGUAAAAUGAACCUCUGUCACUUUCCAGAUAAAAUGUUGUUGAUGGUGCUACGGGCAGAGGGGUGAGAAGCAGUGGUCGUCAGUUCUCUUAGAAGUCUCUUAAUGGAAGCAGAUGGUGUAGCAGUGCCUAUAGCCGUGUCUAUAGCAGUCUUCAAAUAAGAAGUCAUUUUGUCCUAGCACAAGAAGCCAGCUCUUGGAACAAACAUAACCACGUCAUUAGCCUUCCAAGGGAGUGGGAAAGAUGGAAGAUAUUUGAUUGUUGCUAUUGGGAAGAACAAGGUCAGCUCUCUUUGGAGUCUGUUUCCUGAGCCUGGACAAUCCCAAGAGGUUGUCUGUUCUCUGGAUCUUGUUCACUGUUGGUCAUUCAGCCCAGGUUUGCUGACCAUGUGGUGUACCAUGGGACUAUACUGGCCAGUCUUGGUUUUGGAAAAAGAGUAGUGAAACUGGGGCUUGCAGCUCGCUAUUUCUGAUGUGAAAUGGGGAGUGGUUCUGAAAGAGCAUCAUGGCUGAAUGCGUACCUUCUAUGCUUCCUUUGGGAUGCACUUGUAUACUUAACACACGUGUGUCUUUAUGCCAAAGAUAUUUUCUAAGUGAAACAAAUAAACUCUUUGCUGUGUUACGUUCAGGUAAUUCGUUCCUUGGUGUUGUUUUUAACUUCUCAACUGCACUUCCUAGAUUGUUGGGAUUUUUUAAUUUGUUUCUGAAGAACCUGUACUUUCUAGAUUAGAGUAGGUUUUCAUGUAACACAUGAACAUCUUUGGCCAGUGCUAUGUUUCUUAACAGAUGUGGGGAAUUCAGCUGCCCACACAAGUACACUGUCCUCUGGUACUGACUGCUUUGAGAGAGGCUCUACAUCACUGGAGCAGGCUGGAGCAGAUGUCCACUUCAAUUUCUCUUUGGUGUUAUUUUUCAUUACCACUCUCUUUGCAGCUGAACUAUGUCUUGCUGCAGCUGUACAUGCAUAUGAUGAAGUGCUACUUCUGUUUUCCUUUCCAUCUUUCCUGUAUAAUUUGUACCCAUCAGUAAUGACAUUUCACUUAUGAAACAGAAUCCCUCUGCUACAUUUCAGGUUUACCUGGUACAGUACAAUCCUUGACAUUUAAGUAACUCCACAGCUUGUUUCCCACGCUCCCUUUGUUUGGGUAUACAAAAGCCUUUUUUAAAACUCCUGACCAUGUUUCAGAAUAAAUCCAGUCUCUUAUUUUACUUCUGGGCAUCAUGGUACAUGAAAAUGUGUUUAUAGAAAACAUAAUCUUUUUCUUUCUUCCUGUGUUUAAGGUCCAUGUAGCAAUUGCAUCCUUACUGUUUAAGAAGAGUCUGUCUAAUCCAAGCUCAUUUCACAGGUUAUGUCAGGGCUCCAGUAUUAACAAUACCAUCACUUUGCGUCUUUUCCAUUACCUUAUGGAGGUUUCCCAAGAAACGAAGAUAAAUGUACUUCAUCUUUAAUAUUACUAUUUAUUAUUUACUUCUUUCUUGUUUCCUGACUCUUUUGCUCAUGCUCUUUCAAAAUCAGGGUACAGUUCAGGAAUUAGCGCCCUCUUUGUGUCACCUAGACCUUGUGUCCCCUGUCCUUGGGGGAAAUUUGGGAAAUUUGCAGAUUUGGGAAUCCUCGUAAACAAGAAAAGCUUAUGAAAAGCACAAGCAACAGUAGAAACCCUCUCAGAAGAGAAACCUACAGAUGUAGCAUGUAGCAGAAGUGACAGAUGUUUACCUAACUCUUGUCACAACACUUAUUGAUUUCUGCUGCAAGCCUGGACGUGUAUACCUGGGGAGCGAGGAUGUAGAAAACCACACCUUAAUAUGUAAUGUUUCAGCUUCUCCAGUCUCACUCACAACGUGGACAAACUUGCCAUGCUUUUCAACACAACGUGAGGAAGAGUAAGGAAGAGAAAGGAAGAAUAGCUGAGAUGCAUCUGCAUAGGAACUUAGGGCAGAAUUGCUGGUGUGUCCUAAAUUCCUAAUGUGAUCUGCCAAUGUCAAAAGUUUUUGAGAUGUUCCUAACUCUGUUUCUCUCUCCAUUUUCAGUCUGCCUAGCUGCAGUACCAGCUCCUGCCUUUUCAUCUGCCUUGUCAGGUUUUGUUUUCUUUUUCUAAAAUAUUAGAUAUGUCACCUUCUAGGAGAACUGUGAGCAUGAAACAGCUCUUCUCUUGCUUUUUACCUGAGACAGGCAACUUCCAGGUGAUGGGGUGCGCUGAAAGACAAGACUUAAUGACAGAGGAUGUGUGAAAUCGUUGCUUGUAUUUUCCUGGUUAUGUGUGGAAUUUGUGCAGGAAAGCUGAUGGAGCAUAGCACCAAACGAAAACAUGAAUAACGAGGAACGUAGCCCUUACAGAGGGCCUAAAACAUAGAAUAUAAAAAUGAGAGCUUAUUUUAAUGCAAAUACAUAUGGUGUCAUAGGCAAGCAACCGGGAAGUCAGGUCAAGGAUAUUUUCUAAGUACUGUCUGUAUUCAAGGGUCUUUUGCCUUUUUAAUUUCUUUGAAGAAAAAAAAAAAAAAAAAAAAAAAAGCUUCUGCUGAAUAGUGAAUUUUAUUUCAAUUGUGCAAGUGAAAAAAGUACGUUGUGCCAGUGGGUUGUGGCCAGAUCAGCAUUUUGUAUGAGUUUGGGGGUGGAUUUGGCACAUGCCCACUGUGGGCUGAAUAAACACCACGUUUCUUCAGCUUUUUGAUUUACCAAUCUGGAGUGGCUGUUACAGAAAGAACAUUGCUUUCUGCAAUCUGACCAAUACACAGGAUUGAGCACUAAUAUCAAGGCUCUCUGGCCUCUGCCUAUGGCAGGCGUAGUGUCUUUUUAUUGUAUCCAAAACAGUACUCCCAAACCAGGGCCUGAGAUGUAGAUUAAAUAAAUAUGGCAAGAUGGGGUGACAGAGGAAUGGGAAUGCUUCAGCAAGAUGUGCAUCUAUUGCUCUGACAUAGCUGGUGGAACACAUCAGUUUGAGCUUCCCCUGCAUUAGCUACACAGUGAUGUAAGAUGGAGUAUGGGGAAAAAAAUGAACACAUGAAAACAGAUUGCUUACUCUAGAGCUGGAUCCCAUACCACGAAAACAAAAGCUACGUGUUGCAUGCCGACAGAGUGUGUGGGAUAGGAAUGUCAGCUGUAUUCUACCAUGCAGACUGACAGCAGCCCAGGUCUGGCUUUUUGCACAGUUGGGACUGUGAAGAAAAUGAAUUGUAUACUUGAAUACUUACACAGGCAGAUCCUUGUGUCCGAGGUUCCUUGGAUGUAAGAAAACAUAUAUAUAAGUGCUGCUGCUUGCUUAUGAGGAACAGAAUCGUACUUGCCUCAUCUUGCAUUGUUUGUGACCAUGGUGCUUAAGAGAUGCAGGGGCUACUUUACUGGUGUGCUCUGGUUUCUCUGAAACUUCAGUGGUAGAGGAAGUAAUAAGGCACUUUGAGGUAGCUGGGCUCCAGCUUCUCUGAAGAGGACACUUCCACAAACGAAAAUGAUUAAAAGGAAUAGCUAUCUCUCUGAGAAAUUACAAUGUAUUUGGUGAAACUGAGUAAAAUCCCAGGGCACAGAUGCUAGACAACCUUGGGAAAAGGGCAUUUACUUCAAGUGUUUGAAAAGAAAAGCUAUUUAAACUUUGAAAGAGCUAUUGGUUUUAUUGUUGCAAUAUUUAUGAUCUUCUCUUUAUAGGUCAUGCAACCAUUUCCUUAGUUAUCCUUAAUCUCCUACCAGAAAUUCUUUCCCUUGGCUGGCAGCCCCCUUGAGCGGAGCACUUGCACUACAGAAAUGGAAAAUAGCAAAUAUAAACCAAGUGGGAUCAUUUAUAGCUGUCUUGCUAAGUGUGUAACACAUCUGCAGAAGGAUAAGUUCUUCUGAUUUAGCGUGGCCAUUAGUGACAUUUUACUGCUUCUGAAAGGAAGAAAAUGGCUCUGUUUAGUGUCCUGAGGUAUAACUGUGGUAAUCAUGGAUGUUAGAAAUGGAAAAGGCUGCUAGGUCGUCUGGGUCAUCGCCCUAGUGCAAUGCAAAAAUUCACCAGCGUAUCUUUCUAGGAUUUUGUUAUUCUACCAUUUGUUUGAAAUUCUCCUUCACAGCCUAAUAAAUCUCAUAGAAAGGUAGUUAAAAUAACUUCUCGGAGAUGUCUGAGAGAUAGAAAUCCUUGCAGGCAUUGCGCUGAAAUAAAGACCUGUUUCCUGGUUUAUCCAAGCAUCUGCCAUUGCUCUUUCACAGUGAAGACACUUCCUUUGUUUGGUAUUUAUGACUACAGCAUUUCAAUAAAUCAAAACUUUUCUGGAAGGAAAAGUUAAAGCAGUCUCCACUGGUUUCUCACCAAUUUCCAAACCGCUUUUAAACAUGUUAAUUAACUUACAGAACCAAAGUUAUACUUCAGCAAAUCUGGAUUAAUUUCGCUGCACCCACUGGGGUUAUGCUGGAUGAAUGCUGGAGAUCCUGACAGCGCAGUAUGACCAACAGCUUCCCUUUUGCAUCCAAGGAGACAAACUCACAAGAACAAAGACAGAGACAGACAAGCACAGGCGCCAGACACAGAUGCUGUACCCUGCAGCCAAAAGGAGGAUGUUGUUUCAGGCAGGCUCCAUCUUGUUUCAAAGUCUCCCAUGUAAGCAGCGCUUGGUAUAAGUAAUUGGGAAUUCACUUGUGCACAGCAGUGUUGCUAACGUGAGGAAACCCUUGAAAACGCUGUAGGGUCUUUGCAUUGAAUUCUGCUUCAAAAGAAAUGGCUGCAAUAGAAGGAUUUUGGAGUUGGACUCUCUUGAUAAACACAAACAUCUUUUUGAACACAGCCCUGGUCUGGAGCACCUUGUUAAGAGUAGCUUUAAUAUGUAUUUUCAUUGUUCUCUGUGCUAUGGUUAGCCUGUGGAAGCAAGACCGUAAGGAAGAAUUGCUGCCAGGGCUGGUUUAAGCUCUGCAAGGUUCUCAAGUGACAGGAAGUAAGCCAGCAGCAGCAAUCAAGUGCGGUCCAAGCAGCAGAAACAAACAGUAGAACUGAGCUGCUCAGGGCUCUUGAGAGGAAACAUGCUUUCUUUAGCACAGUCAGUGAAUCCAGAACAGCAACCACAGAACAUCUUGCUCUCUUCAGGGGAAGGAAAGAAAGAAAGAAAGAAAAACCCAACAAACUUCUGGCUUUCUUCUAGUUGUCCUGAGGUUUAGUGCAGGAUUAAAAGGAAAGUCCUGGGGUUUUUGCUUGCUUUUUCACAUGUGUGGGGAGAACAUGCUAUUUGGCAAAUGGUUGUCAGUGCAUGAUGAAAUGCACUAGAAUCCUCCUCAUCAUUCCUUCCCUGUGCAAAAAGAAAAUAGCCCAGUGGGCCAAAUGCAUGUUAGCCCCUGAGCAAUUGAGUCUUCCUCCAUUUCUGCUUGUGUGUGAUUAAUUGGUGGCUUUGAAGAGAUCGUCUGCUACCAAGAGGUGCUGUGAUUGCUCUCAGGAGUCAGCCUGUGGGCUUUACCCAUGCAGCCCCGCCCCAAGAUCCCAGCAGCAGCUCAGCCACAGGGAAUCUGCUGGCAGGCUUCCAUCAAGGGGGUGACACAAAGCUGUGCUUGUGAACCUAGAUUUAACUUUGCUGCCAACCAUUGCAGAAGACAAGCUGGGACAGUGAGUGAGUCACAGGGUUUGUAAGCAGUCAGAUUUGAGUAUUAAAGAACAAACAGCCUGGCCCACCCAGCUUCACUGUUCUCUGUUCCAGAAGCCGCUGGAGGCCAAGUCAUGGAAACGGCUGCUGCUGGUCCAUUUCCCUGUGCAGCUCUUCCUGCUGUCACCACUGUCAUCAACCCCCCAUUCUCUGUCCAGCUCUUUCUUUGGGAUCCUUGCUAGGGCCUCCCUGCAGCUGACGCAGAGUAAGGAGGAGGUUGUGGCCAGGAAAGGUCAUGUGCACUCAUGUGCCCAUAUAUCUGUGCAGGAGAGAUGAAAUACACCUUCUGUGUGCAACCCUGGAUCCAAGAAACCUUCCAUGCAGCUUCCCACUUUUUAGCACUCCUUUUUUAAUCUUUUUUUACUAGUCCUAAGGUUGUGCAGUCUUGCAGUUGUUUUGCUCCUCUAGCUUUCUUUCUUAUGGUGCUCCCUUCCUGCAUUAUUCUCACUUUCUGUCCUCAGGUUCUACUGUAAUUGACUCAGGUUCCUCUGCAGGUGGCAAUAAGCAGUCUUGUUAUGUACUGUUUUAAAAAUAAAAAUGCAGACAUUGUGCUUCCCCAUCAAACACCACUUUAGAGAAGUUGUGGGCGAAAAGAAGCCUGUGAAAGGAGCAAUAGUGAAACCACCAUCCAACAUGAGGGAGAGUUUAAGCAGUCCAACGGUAGCUCUAACUCCCUGAUUAUGGCAAUUUUUGUGGGUUCUCUCUCCUUCUCUCUCCUCAGUCUGCCUGAAGGAGGCACGAUUUUCCACACCACCAAAGGAAACAGAUGUUUCCACCUCCAGAUCUUCUGCCCUUCAGUUUAAACUCUUUUGCCCCAUUCUGCAGUUACACUUCACCCUGUUUGCCAUACUCCACUCAUGUCUUCUCACACAUUCUUCUUGCAGAGUGUCACUGCUGCUUGCAGUCUGUGCCCAGCUCACCAGACCAAAGAAGCACUGCUACUCCACCUGAGUACUGCUUUCAGUCCUUCUGACGGGUGCGGACAGCAGUGCACCUUUUCAACACACAGCAGUGUUGCUUCUGCAGACAAAGGCAAAAUGGCAGCCAUUCUGCUUGCGUUGAUCUCCUUCAUAAUAAAGGAUAAUGGGAAACCUUUUGAAUAUGAGGGAAAAAGCCCAAGUUAAAAUAAAAAUUAAACAACGUAUCCAAUUAAUUAGAAUCACUGCAAAGCCUUGGAAAGCUGCCAUCUUAAAUUACUACACAGCUACAACUCCCAGGAGGAAAAAAAAAAGUAGUAAUUGGGAGGAAAAAAUUACAUACUCCUGUUAUCUUAGUAGGAGUUUGAAAUAGACAAGACAGGUGGGAGCUUUUCCAGCAACAGCAUUAGUCCUGCAUGUAUGGUAUUACCUGUUAUGCACAGCUUACUGAUUCCCUGCUUGCAAGGGCACAUAUAUAUUCACAGUUCCUGAGGAUGGAGGGGAUGGGAGGUUUGUGUCCCAGCCCUCUUUUUUUUUUCCCAAGCCUGAUUAUUCUAUUGCAAUGGGGCUGGGUGACAAAAAAGUACACAAAUAAGUGCUGCAUGUAAAAGUGUGGCUGCCCUGGAAGCAGUGGAAACUCCAGUGUACACUUAAACUUUGGAAAGUGGAAGGAGAGAGCGCCUUAAGCUGUUACCCUAUGUCUCAAUGUAAAAUUCUAACGCUGUCCUGAUGAUGAAGGUGGAGCUGUGACAAUAAAAUGCUGUAAUUGCUUUCACAUACUUAUGUUUAGGUUCAGCUAAAGGUGACUCAAACUGUUGUGUAUAAGUUCCUGCUGCUGUUGAGUAUCAUCUCUGACCAAGUUGGUGAAACGGGGAGGUGAAAAGAAUUAUGUGAGCACGGCAGCACAAGUUGAAAAUUCUGCUAAGCAUUUCGCUUCGGACAUUCAUAAACUGUUCUUCAAACUGUC
Molecule: RNA transcript, 12358 nt
Organism: Centrocercus urophasianus (Greater sage-grouse)
Lineage: Eukaryota; Metazoa; Chordata; Aves; Galliformes; Phasianidae
Gene: SACK1F
Gene name: family with sequence similarity 83 member F
Exons: 7
Source: RefSeq, a predicted model, not a curated record